Molecule: ribosomal RNA, 404 nt
Filed under: Verrucomicrobiota bacterium
Lineage: Bacteria; Pseudomonadati; Verrucomicrobiota
Description: Verrucomicrobia bacterium partial 16S ribosomal RNA
Rfam family: Bacterial small subunit ribosomal RNA
Source: RNAcentral
UUGGGAAUAUUGCACAAUGGGGGAAACCCUGAUGCAGCGACGCCGCGUGAGCGAUGAAGGCUUUCGAGUCGUAAAGCUCUGUCCUAUGGGAAGAUAAUGACGGUACCAUAGAAGAAAGCCCCGGCUAAUUACGUGCCAGCAGCCGCGGUAAUACGUAAGGGGCGAGCGUUGUCCGGAAUUAUUGGGCGUAAAGAGUGCGUAGGCGGCAAAUUAAGUCAGAUGUGAAAACUAAGGGCUCAACCCAUAGAUUGCAUCUGAAACUGAUAUGCUUGAGUCAAGGAGAGGAAAGUGGAAUUCCUAGUGUAGCGGUGGAAUGCGUAGAUAUUAGGAGGAAUACCGGUGGCGAAGGCGACUUUCUGGACUUGAACUGACGCUGAGGCACGAAAGCGUGGGGAGCAAACAGG